CCUACGGGUGGCAGCAGUGGGGAAUAUUGCACAAUGGGGGAAACCCUGAUGCAGCGACACCGCGUGAGUGAAGAAGUAUUUCGGUACGUAAAGCUCUAUCAGCAGGGAAGAAAAUGACGGUACCUGACUAAGAAGCCCCGGCUAACUACGUGCCAGCAGCCGCGGUAAUACGUAGGGGGCAAGCGUUAUCCGGAUUUACUGGGUGUAAAGGGAGCGUAGACGGCUAAUCAAGUCAGAAGUGAAAACCCAGGGCUCAACCUUGGGACUGCUUUUGAAACUGAGUAGCUAGAGUGCAGGAGAGGUAAGCGGAAUUCCUAGUGUAGCGGUGAAAUGCGUAGAUAUUAGGAGGAACACCAGUGGCGAAGGCGGCUUACUGGACUGUAACUGACGUUGAGGCUCGAAAGCGUGGGGAGCAAACAGGAUUAGAUACCCUUGUAGUC
Molecule: ribosomal RNA, 440 nt
Filed under: uncultured bacterium
Lineage: Bacteria
Description: partial 16S ribosomal RNA
Rfam family: Bacterial small subunit ribosomal RNA
Source: RNAcentral